ACUUUUCUUUCUUUCUUUUUU
RNAcentral lists this small RNA (21 nucleotides) under Arabidopsis thaliana (thale cress). Its description in RNAcentral is "ATSL131210". The record is from RNAcentral. Lineage: Eukaryota; Viridiplantae; Streptophyta; Magnoliopsida; Brassicales; Brassicaceae.